This 2235-nucleotide long non-coding RNA is filed under the name Bos grunniens (domestic yak). RNAcentral describes it as "lncRNA (ENSBGRG00000015092.1)". Lineage: Eukaryota; Metazoa; Chordata; Mammalia; Artiodactyla; Bovidae. The record is from RNAcentral.
GAGCCCGCACUCCCCAGGGCCCGCGAGCAGCAACCGAGCCUGCACUCCCAGGGACCGCAAGCCGCGGCAACUGAGCCUGCACUCCCAAGGCCCACGAGCCUUGGCGACUGAGCCCGCACUCUCCCGGGACCGCGAGCCGCGGCGACUGAGCCCACUCCCCAGGGCCCGCGAGCCGCAGCAACUGAGCCGGCACUCCCCGGGACCGCGCGCCGUGGCGACUGAGCCUGCGCGCCCGGAGCCUGUGAGCAGCAGCGAGAGAAGCCGCUGCAGUGAGAAGCCCGCGCACCUAGAGAAAGCCCGCACAAAGCAACGAAGACUCGCGCGAUAAAUUAACCAAUCCAGAAAAAAGCUUCUGUAAGAGGAGGACUGAUAAACUUUUUUUUUUUUUUUUAUCAGAGCACGCCUUCAGGCAGCUUUUCUCAAAGCAUGGUUCCAGAGGCCACACAGCUUCACAGUGAAAGGCUGCGGGGGCUCCCCGGGCCGUGGGCUGGGCGCGGGCACCGCAGACUAACCGCAGACGCUGUGGUGAGAGCCGGGCCUCCGCAGAGCUGGGCCUUCAGGAGGUUUACAAAUAUGUCCUCACUGUUUUUGUGGGGGAGAAUACCGUCACUUUUCAUGAACAUCUGUUAUACGUGUUAACAUGGAAUGGGUCUAUGAUUGUUGUUAUUAGAUGAGUUAGUAGGUGGACUUUUUCUGCAUUUCUCCAUUUUAUCUGUAACACAGUGAGUACUGGCAGGUGUGACUCACACAGAUAUCUUUGGAUACUUGAUUUCCAGGAGUAUAAGGGUUCCAAGAACCAAAGAGUUUGAGAACUGCUGCCUCAAGGAAGUGAGACCUCACGUUCCACAGUGAACACGACAUCUGCAAUCCUGACAAAAUGGAGGAAAAUACGGGGAGAAAAGUGGAACAACUGGAGAGAGAUGGGCCUGCCGGGCCCCACCCCACCUACAGGACCAUCGUCCGGGGCCACCCCAGGGAGGCAGGCCUGUGGAGAUGCUGGACUCUCCAAGCGGGCGGAGCGUGCCCCUGGGCCCUCCCGGCUCUGCAGUGACCGGGCUGGGAGCUCGUGCUGGACACUCCGAGGCCGCGCAGAGCAGCACUGGCCCCAGCAGUCCCGCCCCCCGCCCAACAAAGGAUGUGAUGCCCAGGGCAGAAAAGGAAGUUCCAGGGGCUGAGAUGCAGCGGGAGGCUCUUUUCAGGAAGCUGAACUGGCACAGGUGGGCCCUCCCCUCUCUGGGUCUCCACCCAGGGGUUCCCUUGCGGGGCAGGGCCUGGUGGCCUCGGUGACCUUGGCCCGAGUGUCCUUGGCAUGGCCGGCCGCGGCUCACACUCGUGGGGGAUUCUCUGGGCCACAAGCCUCCCACGAGCGGCCCCGCCACUCUUUCAGAGGAACUGUGACUCCCGCCAGCCACCACUGGUAAUUUUAGGCACUUUUAACAUCUUAAAUAUAGUCAGUUCACACUCAGACAACAUGCCAGGCGCGCAGUGAGGAGCCGGCAGCCAGACGUAUGCUGUCGCUGGAGCCCAGCAGCAGGGUGAGAGUGCCCCACGCAGCCCCUCUGGGGGGACCCCGGUGCUCGAGCAGGGGGCCAGGUGCUGGCCUCCUUGCUGCCACUUACCUCAAAGGUGUUCCCCGUCACAUCAAACUCUGGGGGCACAAAAGCUCCCUCAGGGUCAUCUGGGGAGAGAAGAGAAGAUGCCAUUCACAUGGUGACCCCCGAACACAGGUCAGGUGAGACAGGCUGCCAGGCUCUUCCCGGCUGGAGGGCUACGUGCACCUGGGGCCCAGCCAGGACCACCCACCAGCGAGGCCCAGUCCCCAGCCUCCCCUCACCCAGGCCCAGGCAGGUUGCCGUGGAAACCCGGCUCCAGACCACUGCGCCUAGGGUGGAGGCCACACCCUCGCGGGCCCCUCUGUGUUCACAUUUGCCACGCGGGCCUCACCGCUGAGCUGCUCCAUGAAGCACACGUUCCCGCUGGUGUUGAAGGCCAGCGUGUCGGGCGUGAUGCACAGGGUCUGGAAGAUGGCCGAGUGGGCGACACUGCGCAUUGCCAGGCUGCACUCCAGGCACACAGCCCAGGCCUCCUGCUCGCUCAGGCCGCUGUCCCGCAGGGAGAGGAUGUCGGCCAGGGACACGUUCUCCUGCCGAGACAGCCUGGGCUGAGCCCUGGGCGCCUGUGGAGGGGCAGGGGGGCUGGGGACAAGACCCCGCGGCCGCCCCGCAUCUGGAACUG